UACGGAGGGUGCAAGCGUUAUCCGGAUUUACUGGGUUUAAAGGGUGCGCAGGCGGAUAUGUAAGUCAGUGGUGAAAUCUUUAGGCUUAACCUGAAAAUUGCCGUUGAUACUAUAUAUCUUGAAUGCUGUGGAGGUAAGCGGAAUAUGUCAUGUAGCGGUGAAAUGCUUAGAUAUGACAUAGAACACCUAUUGCGAAGGCAGCUUACUACGCAGAUAUUGACGCUCAUGCACGAAAGCGUGGGGAUCAAACAGG
This 253-nucleotide ribosomal RNA is filed under the name uncultured bacterium. RNAcentral's name for it is "partial 16S ribosomal RNA". It matches the Rfam family "Bacterial small subunit ribosomal RNA", at positions 524 to 776 of the family's 1533-position model. The record is from RNAcentral.